This 2650-nucleotide long non-coding RNA is filed under the name Daucus carota (carrot). Its description in RNAcentral is "long non-coding RNA (DCAR_LNC003890)". The record is from RNAcentral. Lineage: Eukaryota; Viridiplantae; Streptophyta; Magnoliopsida; Apiales; Apiaceae.
UAGUAUGAUCCUCUCGAAAUCCUGUAUACAUAAGGAACUUUUCUAAUAACUAUUAAUUUGAUUAAACUUUCUAAUUUAUGAUUGUAUAAUCUUGAAAACAAUUGCAGCCAUGGAAAGAAUUUUUGUUGACCGAUCAAAAAGGAAUGUUCGUGAUACAUCAAGGUUUUUUAUGAAUACUUUUUUGAAUUUAUAAUAUUGAAUCAUGUUUUAUUGAUUCAUGAUGAUGUCUAUAUAUGAUAUAUAUAAUUUAAACAGGAACUGAGAUCUCACAUGUAAUUAUAUUGUAAUUGCAGUAAUUUUUAAGAAGCUUAUGAUGGGAGCAAGAAUUUUGGACUUUACCUCCUCUCUAAAUGAAUUUAGUUUAAUUAAUCAACUAAGAAAUGAGCAGAGAAGCCCAUAAUCUGUGUUGAUUAAUCAACUUAGAGAGGAUAAAAGAAAGAAAAAGUUCACAGCGAACAGCAAAGCCGACCAACAACACCAUGUUCUUUUGUGACGAAGUUUCAAUGGGGUUGGACAUGGAGAGCGCUACUUUUCGAAAUGUUGUGAAUACAGGGUGUUAUGUAAAAUUAUUUAUAAAUGUAUGACUAGAAGGUCAAAAAUAAUAUAUUUACAAUAAAAUAUUUUGAUAUAAACUCUUAGUGAUCAGAUUGUGAAAUGUAUUAUGUUUGUAGCUUGUAUAAAAUACAUCAAAAAUACAAAAAUAACAAAAAAUUCACACAUAAUUUUUUAGUAUUGCGCACUUUAAUUUUGUAUUCUCUUGUUACUUCGACUGUCAAUUCCUGUAAUUUAUAGUUGUUAAGUUUACACAAUUUCGAAUGAUUUUGCUUAAAUCUUGUUUAUAAAAGAUAAGAUACAUCAAUACAAUGUGAAUUAAAAUGCGAUAGCAAUGUAGAAUGUACAUUUAGAUUAUUUCGCUAAUCCAUAAAGAAACAUGCGGAUUAAAUAGCAUAUUUACAAAUAAAUUAAGCAUGUGCGUUUAUUUCUAUACAGUUUAUUUAAUUGUGUUGUCUUAAGUUCAGCUAUCCCAUCACUUUCGAAAAUAAUAAAAUGAGUUGUGGAUAAAAGUUCGAGAAUUUUAUUAAAUUUUAGCGACGGAUUUUGUAAGAUUGUUCAAUAUAUUUUAAGAUGUUUGAAAUUUCAUCAAAAUUCAUUAAAUUUUAUAAUAUCGUACUUAAAUCUUAAAAAUUCUCAUUAACUCUACAACAUUUUAUCAAGAAAUCGUAUCAAAUCAAAAUCAGAUUAAUCUAUUAAUAUGCAUACAUUAAAAAUAAUUUAUUAAAAUCUCAAUUGUAUAUCAAAAUUAAAGAUGCUUUUACUUAACCGUCAGUAAUAUUUUUUAUAUCAUUGAGAUAAUUCAAACAUAUAUUUCCUAAAAAUCAUAAUAGUCGAAAAGACGUGUACAAACUGGAAAGAAAUCUUUAAAAUUAAUAUCAACUCAAACAUUUAUUUUUUAAAAAUCGUUUUAUUCAGAAAAGCUCGCACAAAUCGGACGAUGGAAGUAAUUACAUGAAAGAAAAGUGAGAUCGAAACGAAGAAAGCAGCGAUGUCUUGUUCUCUUUCGUCUCUAACUCGUCACUCAACUCGCUUGAUUCGUCUCUUCUCUUCCACCCCAUCAAAAAUUUAAAACCAGGUAUGUAUGUGUGUAUUUAUGUAUGUAACAAAUUAAGUUAAAAAAUGAUUUAAGAAUCAUGUGUUAUUUUUAAACUAAUUUAAUUGUACAAAGACAAUAAAAUCAUAUAUUAUUGGUUAUAGUAAAGAUCUAAAAUUUGAAAUAAAACGGGAAAUAUUUAAUUAUUAAAAAAUUUAAAACCAGGGGCGGUAUAAAAACUGUGGAUGGCAAAACCUGUGGGCGAAAUAGGCGGUUUUAAUCUUGUCCAUUAAACAAAUCAAAAUAUCAACGUUCAAGAUCUUCUAAUAUCAUACGUGAGGCGGCUAUAUAAAGAGUAUAACGAAGGAGAAAUAAAAUGUGUCAAUAAAAAGUUCGCAUAUACAAAUUGAGGUACGAGUCUUGUGAUUAUCUUAUAUUUGUUUAUAAUUUUUUUUUGAAGAGUUAGAUUUCUAAUACAUUAAUUUUAUUCUCUUGAGUGUGCAGAUUAACCAGUUGCGAUAAAGAUCCAAGCAAAUAAUUUACAACUCCUGUGAUUAGUGAAGACGCCAAAACAAUAUCAUAGCAUCUAUGCACGUGCAACAAUGAGAAUUCUGCAAGUGAUCAAUACAUAGUAUGAUCCUCUCGAAAUCCUGUAUACAUAAGGAACUUUUCUAAUAACUAUUAAUUUGAUUAAACUUUCUAAUUUAUGAUUGUAUAAUCUUGAAAACAAUUGCAGCCAGGGAAAGAAUUUUUGUUGACCGAUCAAAAAGGAAUGUUCGUGAUACAUCAAGGUUUUUUAUGAAUACUUUUUUGAAUUUAUAAUAUUGAAUCAUGUUUUAUUGAUUCAUGAUGAUGUCUAUAUAUGAUAUAUACAAUUUAAACAGGAACUGAGAUCUCACAUGUAAUUAUAUUGUAAUUGCAGUAAUUUUUAAGAAGCUUAUGAUGGGAGCAAGAAUUUUGGACUUUACCUCCUCUCUAAAUGAAUUUAGUUUGAUUAAUCAACUAAGAAUUGAGCAGAGAAGCCCAUAAUCUGUGUUGAUUAAUCAACUUAGAGAGGAUAAA